Molecule: long non-coding RNA, 1831 nt
Filed under: Nicotiana tabacum (common tobacco)
Lineage: Eukaryota; Viridiplantae; Streptophyta; Magnoliopsida; Solanales; Solanaceae
Description: long non-coding RNA (NTAB_LNC000875)
Source: RNAcentral
AAACUAAGAAAAAAUAUAGAAAAAUAAUUUAAAGCUAUUGUUUUGGAUUUUUUAGGAGUAAUUUUAUAUUAGGGCAAAAAUUAGGUGCUCAUAGCUGCCCCUCUUUGCUCGAGAACAUGAAGAGUUUUCGGGCAAUGAUAAAGUAAGCAAUUAUGAGCAAUUUUUGCCCAUUUGACACUCCAUGGGAAGCAUUUUGAAAAUGUUUGACCGAACCGUGUUUCAGAGGUUGCCUACAUAUCCUUGGCUAUAAAGGAAUCAGGUCAGUGUAGUUCUGGAAGUUUAGGUAGCUGGGACUACCGAGAAGCUGUGAUUUCACUGUUGUUGCUGUUGUUACUGCUUGCUGAGCUCCUUAUUACACCAAAGUCAAAAUGAAAAAGACUAACUAAGCCUAUCAGCUACGAGUUACAAGAUUCCUAUCUAUGAGUCUUUUGAAGCUUGAUCUUGAGUUUUGGCUGGUUCUUCAUGCAGACUCUGAUCUGAACCUCGAUGCUUGCUAGCUGCAGGUGGUAGUUCAUUCUUCUUCGGCUUUUCGGAUCAAGAUGGGACAUGCAAAGCUUGCGACUUCAAUCAUAUCUUGAGCAGCCCAUAUCUUUUCAUCUUUUUCUGCAUUUUGGAUUCACUUCUUCUUCUUUUUUUUUCUUUUUUUUUUAAAUUCUGGAUUGAGACUUCUUCCUUUGGUCAUCCCGUACUGUCAACUCGCAUUCUUGAGGAGAGCUUCUGCUACUUCUAACUUGAAUUGAAUUCUUAAAUGACUUCUCUCGUUCUCCAGGUGGGCGCCUGAUGACUUAAAACUCGAAAUAAAUUACUUCAUUCUCCAGGUGGGCACCUGCUGACUUAAAAACUUGAAAUAAAUUCCUUCAUUCUCCAGGUGGGCGCCUGUGCUGACUUAAAACAGAAAUGAAUUCCCUCAUUCUCCAGGUGGGCGCUUGAUGUUGACUUGAAACUUGAAAUGGAUUCCCUUGUUUUCCAGGUGGGCGCUUGUUGCUAACUUAAAACUUGAAAUGAAUUCCCUCGUUCUCCAGGUGGGCGCCUGAUGCUAACUUAAAACUUGAAAUGAAUUCCCUCGUUCUCCAGGUGGGUUCUCUAGGUGGGCGCCUGAUGCUAACUUAAAACUUGAAAUAAAUUCCCUCGUUCUCCAGGUGGGCGCCUGCUGACUUAAAACUGAAAUUAAUUCCCUCGUUCUCCAGGUGGGCGACUGAUGAGUUAAAACUUGAAAUUAAUUCCCUCGUUCUCCAGGUGGGCGCCUGCUACUACAAAAAAAAUAGACAAAACAAAAAAAACCUUUCUACCCCAGUUUACACUAGGAAGAUUUGUGAGUUAUUAGCAGAACUAUAAAUUACCUAUGCUAUUGAUAAAAGAUGCAAUGAUGAGAGUAAAAUUAAAGACUCGACUAGGAUGUGCGUCUCCUAAAGAAAUAAAAAUGUGAAAAACCCAAACUAGGAAGUGCGUCUCCUAAAUUUGAGAUUGAGCUUGCGAAAAACUAUAAACUAAGCUUGACUAAACUAAAAACUGACCCUAUUCUCCAGGCGGGACCCCUGAUUUCAAGAAAACUAAAUAUUGAUAACUUAAGAAAACUAAAAAUUGACCUUUGUUUUUUUUUUUUUCAGACUUCCCUUUUUUAAAACUUAUUAUCCUAGGGAGAAAAUUCAUCAGACUAGGUCUUUUUUUUUUUGGUAUCUUAGGAGAAAGAUUCAUGAGACUAAGAUUUCUAUCCUAGGAGAAAGAUUCAUCAGACUAGGUUUUCUAUCUUAGGAGAAAGAUUCAUCAGACUAAGACGUUUAUCCUAGGAAAAAAUUCAUCAGACUAGGUUUUCUAUCUUAGGAGAAUGAUU